GAGUUUGAUCCUGGCUCAGGAUGAACGCUGGCGGCGUGCCUAAUACAUGCAAGUCGAGCGAACAGAUAAGGAGCUUGCUCCUUUGACGUUAGCGGCGGACGGGUGAGUAACACGUGGGUAACCUACCUAUAAGACUGGAAUAACUCCGGGAAACCGGGGCUAAUGCCGGAUAAUAUUUAGAACCGCAUGGUUCUAAAGUGAAAGAUGGUUUUGCUAUCACUUAUAGAUGGACCCGCGCCGUAUUAGCUAGUUGGUGGGGUAAUGGCUUACCAAGGCAACGAUACGUAGCCGACCUGAGAGGGUGAUCGGCCACACUGGAACUGAGACACGGUCCAGACUCCUACGGGAGGCAGCAGUAGGGAAUCUUCCGCAAUGGGCGAAAGCCUGACGGAGCAACGCCGCGUGAGUGAUGAAGGUCUUCGGAUCGUAAAACUCUGUUAUUAGGGAAGAACAAAUGUGUAAGUAACUGUGCACGUCUUGACGGUACCUA
RNAcentral lists this ribosomal RNA (490 nucleotides) under uncultured bacterium. RNAcentral describes it as "bacterial SSU rRNA". It matches the Rfam family "Bacterial small subunit ribosomal RNA", at positions 9 to 481 of the family's 1533-position model. The record is from RNAcentral.